AUCAGCAUGGAGUUUUACAUUAAGAUCCAAAGGGAAAACAACAAGAGAAACAUUCAUACAGUCAAACUGAUGCAAUAGGUCAGAAACAUACUUAUGCUGAUUAAGGAGCAUCCCACCAGGAACUACAGACAUCUCAAAUGCCCAGAAAAUAAUGCAAAGACCCAAGGUCUUUGAUCCUGAACUGAUCAUCCAGAAAAUGCUUCAGGGCAGAAAGCUCAUCAUUGUCAUCCC
RNAcentral lists this long non-coding RNA (231 nucleotides) under Nicotiana benthamiana. RNAcentral describes it as "long non-coding RNA (NBEN_LNC013482)". Lineage: Eukaryota; Viridiplantae; Streptophyta; Magnoliopsida; Solanales; Solanaceae. The record is from RNAcentral.